This 715-nucleotide long non-coding RNA is filed under the name Ananas comosus (pineapple). RNAcentral's name for it is "long non-coding RNA (ACOM_LNC009108)". Lineage: Eukaryota; Viridiplantae; Streptophyta; Magnoliopsida; Poales; Bromeliaceae. The record is from RNAcentral.
UGGAAUACUAUUGGUAACAAAUAAGCUCUAUUGCUACCAAUUUAUUUUCGAUGAUGGAGCUUCCAAAUCGAUGAUCAGUACUAUUAAACAUGAUCUAAACCAUUUAAACUAUUAGGAAAUCAAAUUUUUAUACUUUUUUGAUACUGUUCUCUAAUCAAUCAAGUGGACACAAAAUAAAUGACUAAAAAUGAAUAUCUUUCAAAUAGUGAUGAUAAGAGUCUUGUAAUUAAGAUCAAGAGUAAAGAGUUUAAAAAAUUUCUAACCAAAAUUCAAUGAUUUAGAUAUGGGUAAAUUGCACUGUUUCCUCCUGAACUUUUGGCAGUUUCACUUUACCCCCCAAACUCUUAAAAUAGACAUUUAGCCCCCUAAACUUUAAUACUGCAUUCUUGUUGCCCCUUCCGUUAGUUCUAGUUAACGAAGCUAAACGGGAGUUGAUGGAAGGGUUAGGUUUUGGUGGGAAAUCGCCAAAAUUGUCCCCUGUUCCGAGCAAGCCCUCUUUUAUUCCUUAAAAACUCCUUUUUCUCUAUUUCUAUGCCCUCCAAAGUUCUUAUUCUCCAACUAUCCCCUCCAAUACCUUCUCCUCCAACUCUUUCCUCCAAAGCUCUCUCUUCCAAAGCUCAUCAUCAAUUUAAAAUCUCUUUUUCUCCUCCAACUCCUUCAAAACUCUCAUUUUCUUAUAAACUACGCCAUGGAUGCCUCACAAUUCGUGAUCCCG